Molecule: unclassified non-coding RNA, 220 nt
Filed under: plant metagenome
Description: partial contains small subunit ribosomal RNA, internal transcribed spacer 1, and 5.8S ribosomal RNA
Source: RNAcentral
UUUCCGUAGGUGAACCUGCGGAAGGAUCAUUACAGAGUUCAUGCCCUCACGGGUAGAUCUCCCACCCUUGAAUAUUUAUACCUUAGUUGCUUUGGCAGGCCGUGGAAACACCAUGGGCUCCGGCUUAUGCGUGCCUGCCAGAGGAAACAAACUCUGUUUUUAGAGAUGUCUGAGUACUAUAUAAUAGUUAAAACUUUCAACAACGGAUCUCUUGGUUCUG